AACGAACGCUGGCGGCAUGCCUAACACAUGCAAGUCGAACGAGACCUUCGGGUCUAGUGGCGCACGGGUGCGUAACGCGUGAGAACCUGCCCUUAGGUUCGGAAUAACUCCCCGAAAGGGGUGCUAAUACCGGAUAAUGUCUUCGGACCAAAGAUUUAUCGCCUUUGGAUGGGCCCGCGUUGGAUUAGCUAGUUGGUAGGGUAAAAGCCUACCAAGGCGACGAUCCAUAGCUGGUCUGAGAGGAUGAUCAGCCACACUGGGACUGAGACACGGCCCAGACUCCUACGGGAGGCAGCAGUGGGGAAUAUUGGACAAUGGGCGAAAACCUGAUCCAGCAAUGCCGCGUGAGUGAUGAAGGCCUUAGGGUUGUAAAGCUCUUUUACCCGGGAUGAUAAUGACAGUACCGGGAGAAUAAGCUCCGGCUAACUCCGUG
Molecule: ribosomal RNA, 433 nt
Filed under: uncultured bacterium
Lineage: Bacteria
Description: partial 16S ribosomal RNA
Rfam family: Bacterial small subunit ribosomal RNA
Source: RNAcentral